RNAcentral lists this ribosomal RNA (460 nucleotides) under uncultured bacterium. Its description in RNAcentral is "partial 16S ribosomal RNA". It matches the Rfam family "Bacterial small subunit ribosomal RNA", at positions 338 to 795 of the family's 1533-position model. The record is from RNAcentral.
CCUACGGGAGGCAGCAGUGAGGAAUAUUGGUCAAUGGACGAGAGUCUGAACCAGCCAAGUAGCGUGAAGGAUGACUGCCCUAUGGGUUGUAAACUUCUUUUAUAAAGGAAUAAAACGAGGCACGUGUGCCUUUUUGCAUGGACUUUAUGAAUAAGGAUCGGCUAACUCCGUGCCAGCAGCCGCGGUAAUACGGAGGAUCCGAGCGUUAUCCGGAUUUAUUUGGUUUAAAGGGAGCGUAGACGUGUUGUUAAGUCAGUUGUGAAAGUUUGCGGCUCAACCGUAAAAUUGCAAUUGAUACUGGCAGUCUUGAGUACAGUUGAGGUAGGCGGAAUUCGUGGUGUAGCGGUGAAAUGCUUAGAUAUCACGAAGAACCCCGAUUGCGAAGGCAGCUUACUAAACUGUGACUGACAUUGAUGCUCGAAAGUGUGGGUAUCAAACAGGAUUAGAUACCCCUGUAGUC